UUGAACUUAAAAGAAGUUUAUAGGUUUCCUUUUUUUUUCAUAGAAGUUUUGUUACAAGUAUGAAAGACAAUGAAGACUAUGAGCUUUUGUUAGGUGAUAUUCCACCCAAAUAUGCAAGUGUUAAGGUUUUAGAUAAGCUAUUUUUAAGGCUUAGCCUUUCAGGAGAAUCUUUUAUUAAACCCUACAUUAGAAACUUAAACAAAAAAGGUUAUCGUGGGAACAUAAAGAAAUGUCAAGAUAAUUAUAUAGUGCAACAGAAGUCUUUUAAAGCAGGCUUUACUAGAGAAAAUUCCUGGUUUGGCUACGCAAUUCUUACUUUUGAAAGCCCACAGGAAGCAAAAAGGGCUCAAAUCUUUUUAAACGGCGUUGUUGUAGAUGAAACCUUCACUUUGAGGGUCGUUUCUGCUUCAAUGAAAUCAAUCUUUUUAGUUUCCGCCGGCUUUCUUUCGGAUGAUUCCGAUCCUCCGAUUUUGGCUCAACUUUAUCCUCUAAGUGAUUCGGAAAUUCAAGCUCGUCUAUUUUCACUCGGGGUGGGCCCUUUGCUGAGCGUACCUCCCCGGGAGCAGCUGGCUGAGUUCUAUGAAACUGUUCCCUCGUCGACUUGCUACUUUCCUUGUGAAGGGCUUCCUCUUCAUAGGAACAAUCCCUUAUUAAUUGAGUUACUGAAGGAGCUGAUUAUUUUUAAUUGGCCCUCAAAACUUUUAAGGAACAAAGUUUUUUAUACAAAAGCAUCGAUAUUAAUUACUUUUUCCCUUGUACAUCCUUUUUUAUUUUAAUUGGAUUAUUGCGGAUGGAUAUGUUGUGCUUAACGCUUAAUAAGUUAUAUGAAGAUGAUGCUUGGAGGAGAUUACAAAUUUUGGCGCAGGCAUUUAUAAAGGAAACUGUUCCGGCUAUCAAAUACAGCCACCUGGCCCUCACCAAAAACUUGUGGGCUCGCCCCACACGGAUGCGCAGGACGCCACUUUCCAGUACGCGUUUUCCUUAGGGGAUUAUCAAAAUGGUCUCCAGUCAGUUGUGCUUAGAAGAGCACACAACUUCGAUUGAAAGUCAGUUUCUUCCCGCUGGAUUUUGCUUCGGAUCCGUAAAAGAGCAAGCAAAUCUGGGCGAAAAUAAAAGAUACAUUUACAUAAUUGACACUCGCUUCAAACUAGUCUGCUUUGACGGCCGCUUCUGUCAUUGGGUUCGUCCUCACACCAGCGGCGAUCGUUACUCACUCGUCUACUUUUCCACUAACCCUGCACACUUCACUCCAAAAGGCCGUUGCUUGAACUUAUCUUUCAAGUAAAAGAAAAACCAUUUCUUAUAAAAAUUAUCAAAAUUCAGUUUCUUUCCAAAAUUUACUUGUAAUCUCAGUUACUCAUGUUUAUGGUUAGAUGUAAUGAUAAUCUUUGCAAACAAAAAU
Molecule: RNA transcript, 1402 nt
Organism: Zophobas morio
Lineage: Eukaryota; Metazoa; Arthropoda; Insecta; Coleoptera; Tenebrionidae
Exons: 13
Source: RefSeq, a predicted model, not a curated record